ACACUGAUGAAGAGUCCCACAAUAGGACGAAAAGACCGUCUAGUGU
This 46-nucleotide non-coding RNA is filed under the name Schistosoma mattheei. Lineage: Eukaryota; Metazoa; Platyhelminthes; Trematoda; Strigeidida; Schistosomatidae. The record is from RNAcentral.